RNAcentral lists this ribosomal RNA (605 nucleotides) under Escherichia coli. Its description in RNAcentral is "bacterial SSU rRNA". It matches the Rfam family "Bacterial small subunit ribosomal RNA", at positions 199 to 788 of the family's 1533-position model. Lineage: Bacteria; Pseudomonadati; Pseudomonadota; Gammaproteobacteria; Enterobacterales; Enterobacteriaceae. The record is from RNAcentral.
GACCAAAGAGGGGGACCUUCGGGCCUCUUGCCAUCGGAUGUGCCCAGAUGGGAUUAGCUAGUAGGUGGGGUAACGGCUCACCUAGGCGACGAUCCCUAGCUGGUCUGAGAGGAUGACCAGCCACACUGGAACUGAGACACGGUCCAGACUCCUACGGGAGGCAGCAGUGGGGAAUAUUGCACAAUGGGCGCAAGCCUGAUGCAGCCAUGCCGCGUGUAUGAAGAAGGCCUUCGGGUUGUAAAGUACUUUCAGCGGGGAGGAAGGGAGUAAAGUUAAUACCUUGCUCAUGACGUACCCGCAGAAGAAGCACCGGCUAACUCCGUGCCAGCAGCCGCGGUAAUACGGAGGGUGCAAGCGUUAAUCGGAAUUACUGGGCGUAAAGCGCACGCAGGCGGUUUGUUAAGUCAGAUGUGAAAUCCCCGGGCUCAACCUGGGAACUGCAUCUGAUACUGGCAAGCUUGAGUCUCGUAGAGGGGGGUAGAAUUCCAGGUGUAGCGGUGAAAUGCGUAGAGAUCUGGAGGAAUACCGGUGGCGAAGGCGGCCCCCUGGACGAAGACUGACGCUCAGGUGCGAAAGCGUGGGGAGCAAACAGGAUUAGAUACCCU